RNAcentral lists this ribosomal RNA (253 nucleotides) under uncultured Bacteroidales bacterium. Its description in RNAcentral is "partial 16S ribosomal RNA". It matches the Rfam family "Bacterial small subunit ribosomal RNA", at positions 524 to 776 of the family's 1533-position model. The record is from RNAcentral. Lineage: Bacteria; Pseudomonadati; Bacteroidota; Bacteroidia; Bacteroidales.
UACGUAGGGGGCAAGCGUUAUCCGGAUUUACUGGGUGUAAAGGGAGCGCAGGCGGUAUGGCAAGUCAGAUGUGAAAACCCAGGGCUCAACCCUGGGACUGCAUUUGAAACUGGCAGUCUCGAGUUGGAGAGAAGUAUGCGGAAUGCGCGGUGUAGCGGUGAAAUGCAUAGAUAUCGCGCAGAACUCCGAUUGCGAAGGCAGCAUGCCGGCUCCACACUGACGCUGAGGCACGAAAGCGUGGGUAUCGAACAGG